Molecule: ribosomal RNA, 320 nt
Filed under: uncultured eukaryote
Lineage: Eukaryota
Description: partial 18S ribosomal RNA
Rfam family: Eukaryotic small subunit ribosomal RNA
Source: RNAcentral
CCCCUAGAUGUUCUGGGCCGCACGCGCGCUACACUGAACAGUUCAACAAGUCUUAACCUUGGCCGAUAGGUCUGGGUAAUCUUUGAACGCUGUUCGUGAUUGGGAUAGACCUUUGCAAUUAUGGGUCUUCAACGAGGAAUUCCUAGUAAACGCAAGUCAUCAGCUUGCAUUGAUUACGUCCCUGCCCUUUUUACACACCGCCCGUCGCACCUACCGAUUGAAUGGUCCGGUGAAAUCUCGGGACGGCGGCUUGGUCGCUUGCGUCCGACUGCUGAAACUUGAUUAAACCAUAUCAUUUAGAGGAAGGUGAAGUCGUANCA